Molecule: long non-coding RNA, 2426 nt
Organism: Dermochelys coriacea (leatherback sea turtle)
Lineage: Eukaryota; Metazoa; Chordata; Testudines; Dermochelyidae
Exons: 7
Source: RefSeq, a predicted model, not a curated record
CUCGCUGGGGGCGGUUGGAGCCGCGCCGCGAGCCGUGACGUAGCCGCCCCCUCCCCGCCCCCCCGGCGCGAGCUGGGUUUUUCCGUUCGGGCGGUUGGAGCCGGUUGCCCGGCAGGGUGAUAAUGCCAACGAGCUAGAUUUUGGGGUGGUGCAGCGGGGAGACACCGAGAUGGAGCAGAAGAUGAACCAGGUGUUGCAGGGCUGAGUGAAAAGCGCGGAUACCAGCCCCAUCUGCAGCUUCCAUGACCAGGGGACCGAGGGCAAUGGGGAGGGAUGCCCUUGACUCUGCUUGUAAGGGGUUUGAAUCAUUCUGUAAAUGCUGGAAACCAAAGAAAAAGCUAUUGAAGUAGCAGCUGCACGGACAUUGUGGAAAGCUGUCGCCGAUCUCUCCAGCCUGGUAGCACUGCAGGAAACACAACUGGAAGAUUACAAAUUGCAGUUGGAUAGAGUUCACCUCAUACAAGUACUGUCGUGCAAUCUCUUUAUUGUAAAAGUGCAACUUAGGGCACUAGGCAACUUAGUGAAGACCUGCUAAAUCGACCGCCGGUCGCUCUCCCGUCAACUCCAGCACUACACCGGAACGAGAAUCAUAACGACUAAUCUGUGAUGUUUGGCUGUAACACAAGGAUCCUACAGUGUUGAGCAUUGAGGAACCUGGACCAUCGGACUCAUCUGGCAUGCCAACGACGAGGCUGGUCCUUUGACUCUUACCACCAGGUCCCCAAGGAAGGGAAUCGUCUGAGCCAAUAGUGAAUUAAACACUAGAACUCCGCUGGGAUCAUCUGCACUUCCUUCAGUUAGUUCCAGUUUGGGGUCUGCUGUUGUUCACCAGUUCCAAGUGGAUUUAAAUCACUGCUCUUCCUUUGUUAGCAUGUCCAGUAGAUUGGAGCGUUCUCUCCUACUGACUGAACUGCACUUGAAUUUUCUCCAUGUCAUCAUGCAGGGGUGGGAGGAAAGCCAAACUAAAGUGAGAAAUCAUGUUAGCAAAUAGUCAUUUGUCCAAUAAAUCUGAGCAACAUCCUGACAAUCUAAACUAAUCGCCACUUGAGUGACCAAACAGCCCAGAAAGAGAGAAACCCACAUUGCAGAGAGGUAGAUGACAUGAAAAUGAAAGUGUCAAGUAAAAUUCCAGAACAGGUUACAUUUGAUGACUCAGAAUCAGGGCAAGAGAUUCUCCCAUCAUGUUCUCCACUGAUCCAUUCAAACCUGCUUCACUCAGCACUGUCAUUAUUGAGUUAUGUUAUUUAGCAAACUUUUAGCAUCCUCAUAUAGGGAGAAAAAACAGCCAAACUUCCCAGAAGUGGCUUUACCAAUAGAUGGAAACUGGGAUUUAAACUCCAAACGAUCCCACUGUAUGGGGAGAUUUUGAUGGAUCAGUACCAAUAGUGAAAAAUUGAUGAUCAUACGUGUUGCUAACAGCAGCCAAAACUUGUGGGCCUUUUUGAGGGAGUGCAGCUUAGCAGAGAAUCAUACAAUCAUAGAAUAUCAGGGUUGGAAGGGACCUCAGGAAGUCAUCUAGUCCAACCCCCUGCUCAAGCAGGACCGACCUCAACUAAAUCAUCCCAGGCAGGGCUUUGUCAAGCCUGACUAUAAAAACCUCUAAGGAAGUAGAUUCCACCACCUCCGUAGGAACCCAUUCCAUGCAUGACUAAGCCAGGAAGGAAGGGAGCCUCUGGCUCAAACUUUGCCUGCAUCUACGUCCCUCCCUGAUGAAAUCUCUGUUGGUUGUGCUGGAGCCUGUGUUUUAGGAGAAAAGCAAGAGAUCUGUCUACAUUUGCCCUCUUAGAGGUGUCCGUCACAGCCUCAAGAUAUGCAAAAUUUACAGGAACACAUCUGGCUAAUUAGUAAGCAGAGAAAACCUCUCACUUAGCUUUUGAAAUGGCUUACCGAACAUGGUUUUUUUUUUUGCUUGAUAUGUCAUUGUCUAUCAGUGAGGAUAAAGAAGCGAGGAGAGCACUUUGGACACUUUGGGAUCUCUUCAUGGAAACAAUUUAGGGUUCCCAAGGGCAGCUGAAAGAUGGGCCAAUUGGAAGGCUGUCUCUGCACCACACUUUGGUAACUAUCGAGGGUUGGGAGUGUUUUCCCUCACAUGUUGCAGAUGUGUGUAAGUGCUUGAGACUCAGUAAAAUAAAGCUUUAACUGAGACCACUCUUGCAUUGUAUUGUUUGUGCCAGCAAGCUAUUGGUUGGGCGGCCAUAUCUCCACAGAUUUAUUUCCUGACACCACCUGGCACAGAGUAAAGUUACCAAGAGCUUUGGGUUUAAAGAACCCCGGGUUACAACACUUUGUUUUUCGAUCCAUUUGAAUUCCCCUUUGAAACUUUCAUCAACUUCAAGCAUAUAAAAGGUUGUUAGAAUGAGGAGGAAGAAAAAUUCUUCUUAACCUCUGAGAACAGGACAAGAAGCCAUUGGAUUAAAUUGCAGCAA